RNAcentral lists this ribosomal RNA (495 nucleotides) under uncultured bacterium. Its description in RNAcentral is "partial 16S ribosomal RNA". It matches the Rfam family "Bacterial small subunit ribosomal RNA", at positions 28 to 507 of the family's 1533-position model. The record is from RNAcentral.
GACGAACGCUGGCGGCGUGCCUAAUACAUGCAAGUAGAACGCUGAAGGAGGAGCUUGCUUCUCUGGAUGAGUUGCGAACGGGUGAGUAACGCGUAGGUAACCUGCCUGGUAGCGGGGGAUAACUAUUGGAAACGAUAGCUAAUACCGCAUAAUAGUAGAUGUUGCAUGACAUUUGCUUAAAAGGUGCAAUUGCAUCACUACCAGAUGGACCUGCGUUGUAUUAGCUAGUUGGUGGGGUAACGGCUCACCAAGGCGACGAUACAUAGCCGACCUGAGAGGGUGAUCGGCCAAACUGGGACUGAGACACGGCCCAGACUCCUACGGGAGGCAGCAGUAGGGAAUCUUCGGCAAUGGACGGAAGUCUGACCGAGCAACGCCGCGUGAGUGAAGAAGGUUUUCGGAUCGUAAAGCUCUGUUGUAAGAGAAGAACGAGUGUGAGAGUGGAAAGUUCACACUGUGACGGUAGCUUACCAGAAAGGGACGGCUAACUACGUG